AACGAACGCUGGCGGCGUGCCUAACACAUGCAAGUCGUGCGAGAAAGUUCCUUCGGGAGCGAGUAAAGCGGCGCACGGGUGAGUAACACGUAGGUAACCUGCCCCCCAGUCUGGAACAACUAGAGGAAACUCUAGCUAAUGUCCGGAUGAGACCACGAUCCCUUCGGGGGUUGCGGCCAAAGAUGGCCUCUACUUGUAAGCUAUCGCUGAGGGAUGGGCCUGCGGGCCAUUAGCUUGUUGGUGAGGUUAACGGCUCACCAAGGCUGUGAUGGCUAGCUGGUCUGAGAGGAUGACCAGCCACACUGGGACUGAGACACGGCCCAGACUCCUACGGGAGGCAGCAGUGGGGAAUAUUGCGCAAUGGGCGAAAGCCUGACGCAGCGACGCCGCGUGGGUGAUGAAGGCCU
RNAcentral lists this ribosomal RNA (407 nucleotides) under uncultured bacterium. RNAcentral describes it as "bacterial SSU rRNA". It matches the Rfam family "Bacterial small subunit ribosomal RNA", at positions 29 to 417 of the family's 1533-position model. The record is from RNAcentral.